Topomyia yanbarensis is the source of this 390-nucleotide long non-coding RNA. RefSeq lists it as uncharacterized. The transcript is spliced from 3 exons. NCBI's taxonomy places the organism in Eukaryota, Metazoa, Arthropoda, Insecta, Diptera, Culicidae. The record is from RefSeq and is a predicted model, not a curated record.
CUUCCUAACAACUGCAGAAAAUUAAUUUUACUUACUGCUUAAAAAUUCAGAAAGUGACGGUUGACGAAACCGAUCGUUGUGAAUGCUAAUGCAAAUUCGUUUAUUAGCAAUAUUGAAAAUUUUCUUGUAAACUACCGAAGCAAUUCGAUUUGUCGGCUAUGGCAGCCAGUGCGAGAUGUUUGUUCAAGGCAGAUGUACAAUCCCCUACUAAAUACGGGAAUCAAACCACCGGGACAUACAGACGAACCGUUUUAUUAUACUGCAUUUGUUACAAUAUGACACCUGGUUCAAAAAUUGGCACAGGAUGCGAGGUUUAAGGCGAUAUGUCACAGUGAAUCAAACGGAACACUGAAUCGGAAUCAACAGAUUAAGCUACAUCCAUCGUCGUAA